This 536-nucleotide ribosomal RNA is filed under the name Nosema sp. C PSH-2011. Its description in RNAcentral is "SSU rRNA". It matches the Rfam family "Microsporidia small subunit ribosomal RNA", at positions 1 to 594 of the family's 1311-position model. The record is from RNAcentral. Lineage: Eukaryota; Fungi; Microsporidia; Nosematidae.
CCAGGUUGAUUCUGCCUGACGUAGACGCUAUUCCCUAAGAUUAACCCAUGCAUGUUAUUGAUUUUUGAGAAAUGGACUGCUCAGUAAUACUCACUUUAUUUUAUGUAUACUUAUUAUAACUACGUUAAAGUGUAGAUAAAAUGUAUACAGUAAGAGUGAGACCUAUCAGCUAGUUGUUAAGGUAAUGGCUUAACAAGGCAGUGACGGGUAACGGUAUUACUUUGUAAUAUUCCGGAGAAGGAGCCUGAGAGACGGCUACUAAGUCUAAGGAUUGCAGCAGGGGCGAAACUUGACCUAUGGAUUUUAUCUGAGGCAGUUAUGGGAAGUAAUAUUAUAUUGUUUCAUAUUUUAAAAGUAUAUGAGGUGAUUAAUUGGAGGGCAAAUCAAGUGCCAGCAGCCGCGGUAAUACUUGUUCCAAGAGUGUGUAUGAUGAUUGAUGCAGUUAAAAAGUCCGUAGUUUAUUUUUAAGAAGCAAUAUGAGGUGUACUGUAUAGUUGGGAGAGAGAUGAAAUGUGACGACCCUGACUGGACGAACA